RNAcentral lists this small RNA (864 nucleotides) under Arabidopsis thaliana (thale cress). Its description in RNAcentral is "ATSL163730". The record is from RNAcentral. Lineage: Eukaryota; Viridiplantae; Streptophyta; Magnoliopsida; Brassicales; Brassicaceae.
AAUAGAAGUAUUCCAUUCUCCUUCGUCAUUCAUCGGAGAGCUCUCUUUAGGCUUUCCGAAAAGAUAUCACAUGCCAAGUUUGGCCUCACGGUUUAAAAGUUAUAGAGUCAUAGAUUUUUAACAAAACAAAAAGAGAAAAACCGAAAAAAAUUGGGAUGCAACACGAGGACUUUCCUGGAGGUCACCCAUCCUAGUACUACUCUCGCCCAAGCACCCUUAACUGCGUAGUUCUGAUGGGAUCCGAUGCUUUAGUGCUGGUAUGAUCGCAUCUGUUACUACAUGCAAUGUAAUCGUAUCUAUUCUUUUUUAAAGACUUUAUGAUCCAUUUGCCGUGGGUCCCACCAGCUAUGUAGGAAUACCCUAUCUUCUUUAUAAGAGCUUUGAUAAAUGCAAAAUAUUGGAAACCAAUGUCCGAACAUAUAAUUUCGCCCCCGUAAUAUAGCAAAGAUCACGAAAAAGCCCAAAAAAGUUCAUUUAGGUCAAAAUUUGAGCAGAAGAAAAAGAAAUAGAAGAAUUCCAUUUUCCUUCCUCAUUUAUUGGAGAGCUCUCUUUGGGCUUUCCGAAAAGGUAUCACAUGCCAAGUUUGGCCUCACGGUCUAAAAGUUAUAGAGUCAUACAUUUUUAACAAAAUGAAAUAGAGAAAAACCGAAAAAAAGAGGGAUGUAACACGAGGACUUUCCGGGAGGUAAUCUAUCCUACUACUACUCUCGGCCAAGCACCCUUAACUGCGGAGUUCUAAUGGGAUCCGGUGCAUUAGUGCUGGUAUGAUCGCAUGUGUUACUACAUGCAAUGUAAUCGUAUCUAUUCUUUUUUAAAGACUUUAUGAUCCAUUUGCCGUGGGUCCCACCAGCUAUGUAGGAAUAC